ACGGGUGAGUAACACGUGGGUAACCUGCCCCGUACUCUGGGAUAAGCCUGGGAAACUAGGUCUAAUACCGGAUAUGACUCCUUUGGGCAUCUGAAGGGGUGGAAAGUUCCGGCGGUACGGGAUGGGCCCGCGGCCUAUCAGCUUGUUGGUGGGGUGAUGGCCUACCAAGGCGACGACGGGUAGCCGGCCUGAGAGGGUGACCGGCCACACUGGGACUGAGACACGGCCCAGACUCCUACGGGAGGCAGCAGUGGGGAAUAUUGCACAAUGGGCGAAAGCCUGAUGCAGCGACGCCGCGUGAGGGAUGACGGCCUUCGGGUUGUAAACCUCUUUCAGCAGGGACGAAGCGUGAGUGACGGUACCUGCAGAAGAAGCACCGGCUAACUACGUGCCAGCAGCCGCGGUAAUACGUAGGGUGCGAGCGUUGUCCGGAAUUAUUGGGCGUAAAGAGCUCGUAGGCGGUUUGUUGCGUCGGCCGUGAAAACUUCACGCUUAACGUGGAGCCUGCGGUCGAUACGGGCAGACUUGAGUUCGGCAGGGGAGACUGGAAUUCCUGGUGUAGCGGUGAAAUGCGCAGA
Molecule: ribosomal RNA, 578 nt
Filed under: uncultured bacterium
Lineage: Bacteria
Description: bacterial SSU rRNA
Rfam family: Bacterial small subunit ribosomal RNA
Source: RNAcentral